RNAcentral lists this long non-coding RNA (1485 nucleotides) under Malus domestica (apple). RNAcentral describes it as "long non-coding RNA (MDOM_LNC012158)". Lineage: Eukaryota; Viridiplantae; Streptophyta; Magnoliopsida; Rosales; Rosaceae. The record is from RNAcentral.
CUACAACACAAAUAAUUGCCACGUAAGAAUCUAUGGAGAAUCCUAAGUUCCCUCUCCAUCUCUGCCAUGUCCACAAGCUUUCAAACUUCAUCAACCGAACACAUAUCCUCGUCCACUCAAACGCUCUAGCCUUCUUGUUUUACUAUAGAGCCUCUUUCUUCUUCCCACACCCCAAUACCAAAGCCACAACCCUACCAUGGCUUCUUGUCUUUGCCUCGGAAAUCCUCCUUGCCUUCGAAUGGCUCCUCAGCCAAUCAUUUCGCUGGCGGACUGUUUUGCGAACCGUGUUCCCAGAGAGGCUGCCGGAGAAUGACAAACUUCCGGCAAUUGACGUGUUAAUUUGCACCGCGGAUCCGGAGAAGGAGCCAACCGUGAUGGUUAUGAACACGGUGUUAUCAGCCAUGGCAAUAGACUAUCCACCGGAAAAGCUUCAUGUGUAUCUAUCUGAUGACGGCUGUGCUGCCGUGACUUUGAAUGGGAUGAGAGAGGCUUGGAGGUUUGCAAAGUGGUGGCUUCCGUUUUGUCGGAGGUAUGGGAUCAAGUGUACGGCUCCGGAGGCUUAUUUCUCUGCAGGAGGAGAAGGUGAUGGCCAUGAGGAUGAUCCCAUACCGAAACCCUUGUCCUGAUUCCCAAACCAAAUUUUUCGGGAAUCCCAAUUUGAAUACCGAUUCCAAACCAAAUUUUCGGGAAUCCCAAUUUUCGGGAAUUCCGAAAUAGUUUCGGGAUUUCGGGACAAAUCAGGAAUCCCGAAAUGGUUUUGGGCUUUUGGACUAAAAUUUGACAUAUUAUGCUUAUGUAACUCAUUGAAUGAAUUGUUAGAUUGUGCAGGCUGGUUAGUCUGAGACUGAGAAUCUAUUGCAUCUCUUGCUAGUUUAAAUGCAAAUAUAAUCUCAUAUCGGGGCACAAGCAUUGGAUUGCAAACUGUAAACUUUGCUUGAAGGCUCUUAACCUGACUGACAAGCAUUGCUACCUUGCGCUGCUUUGCUGUCCAUUUACCAGUAAUUUGCAUAUGUAAAAUACAUAUUUACAAUGCCAACAAGCUCCAUUUAUUGGUAUAAAGAGUAAAGAGACUCAAGCAUAGUAACUAGCUGAUCCAACUUUCUUGGUUUCGACAUAAAUAAAACAACAUUGCUUACGUCAUAUCAUAAUUCAUAACAUAUUCCAUUCUCUGUAAUAAGUUCAAACCAUAAAGUCCAUAAUCAAUUAUAAAAGAAUAAUAUAUAUGUAUAUAUAUAUAUAAUAAUUAAUAAUAUAUAUUUUCGGUUCGGCAUGGGAUUCCCGAAAUAUCGAGAAGUCAAUCCCGAAUCCCGUGCCAAAAUUUCGGGAUCGGUUCGGGAUAGCAUCCCAAAAAUUUCGGGAAUUUCGGUUUGGGAAAUUUUUGGUUUGGGAUUGGGAUUUUUUCGGUUCGGUUCAGGAUUUUUGGGAAUUUUUUCCACCCCUAAUGAGGAUGGUGAUUCCGGGGGUAGUGAGUUCAUACACGAGAAA